CUGAAACCCAAUCUGGGGACAGUGCAGACUAAAUAAAAUUUCAUUUUGAUUUGGCCUCCCGCUGCGAACGGGACUGCUUUGUCUCGGCCGACAGAACCAGCAAGCCAGAAAGAUUUCGCCGGAGAAGAAAGUUACCAUCGGGACGCUGUACUUCUCCAGUUUCACGCUCGCUCUGGAUUUCCCUCCUGCCCCCCCUUCUCCCCCCAGCAGCACUAAAAGCAAAAGGAUGGUGUGAGGGAAACACAAAGAAGGUCCCUUGCAGAGAAACACAUCCUGACAUCAAGCAUUUUCAUCACGGCUGACAGAGAAAUGGCAUGUUCAAUUUGCACUUUAUUUACAAACGCUAAACAUCUACGCACACAUGCCUACCCACCUUUCAUAUCCCUGUAUCUGAAACCCAAGCGAGGAAAACAGCCCAUGCGCGUGAAGCAAGCGAGGGAAUGUGCCGCUGCCUCAUCCAGCACGUUUACAAAUGGACCAACCACAAAUACACCACAGGGAAAUGUGCUUCUCUGUGUGCCAAAAUGCCAGGAUGUUAAUUCACAGAUAUCUCUGUUCAGCGUGUUGGUGUAACUGAGAUAAAUGCCAAGCUGGCUCCCUGCUGUGCGUGGUCCGACACCCCUUGGCCAUAGAGAUUCCAGCUAUUUAAGUUUGGAAAUGACAUUUCUUCACACGUCUUCCAAGAUAGCAAUGGAACCCCGAAACUUAGAGAGAAAACUGAGGAAAAUGAUCUGGUUUCCAGGUUUGGGAAUACCACUGAACCACUGACCCUUAAGGAUACAUGGAAAAAUAACCUGUAACAUUCAAAUUCUACAAAAUACAUUGUGUUCAUACAACCGGAAGGUAUCUCCAUAUAUCAA
This 860-nucleotide long non-coding RNA is filed under the name Mus musculus (house mouse). RNAcentral describes it as "predicted gene 28175". The record is from RNAcentral. Lineage: Eukaryota; Metazoa; Chordata; Mammalia; Rodentia; Muridae.